Zingiber officinale is the source of this 928-nucleotide long non-coding RNA. RefSeq lists it as uncharacterized. NCBI's taxonomy places the organism in Eukaryota, Viridiplantae, Streptophyta, Magnoliopsida, Zingiberales, Zingiberaceae. The transcript is spliced from 4 exons. The record is from RefSeq and is a predicted model, not a curated record.
UCCCGACCCCCUUCGCUCGGCCCCCAUCUCACGAUCUCCGGCGACAAGGCAUCGACGGCGAUCUCCGGCGACUAGGCAUCGAUGCCGAUGACCUUCUCCUCGCGCUAAGGCCUUCUCUUUCCUCUCCCUCCUGAGGCUGGAGUUUUUCUUCCUCCCCUUUCUCUUUCGCGCGACUUCCACCUUCCCCGAUCCAUCUUUACUGUCUACGUUGUCGAUGCCACGCUGCCGGCGGACAUCUCCCGAUCGCAUCAGUGUUGAGCUGCCACUGAUCCUUCUUUCUUCUCCGCUGAUCAUCGGAGGCUAUUGGGUCGUCUUCCUCUUCGGGUCAUCGCUUACACGGGAAGAUCUUCGGCAAGGUGGAGGAAAGACAAACCCUAAUCAUCGAUCCUCUCCCGAUAUGGUCAUUGCCGCCCUGACAUUAUCGAUCCCCACAGCUACUCGUGCCAAAUGUUAUCGCGACAAGGGAGGAGUUCAAUUCUUGGUUGAUGCCCUAGCGCCGUCGAUUCUGAUCAACCCACCGGCAGUCAAGAGGAAGGGGAUCUGAACCCUAGAUCUAGUCCCUCGUUACCUCACCCGUAUGUUGCGGCUUCAACCACUGCAGCCCUUGUUCCAGCCCAGAAUCUGUUGAAUCUUGCUGUUGCUAUCUACACUGUCGCCGGCCACCUAUUGCAAGAAAUCGUUGUCGGAUCAGUGAACCAUUGGAGAAGUGGUUGUUGACAUGGAGUUAAGGGGGCUCUUGGUGGCUGUCGGCAGGGGUUCUUGUGGAGCUGUGAGUUUUGUUUGGCUGCUAUAUCUAAAGCAACUUCCACCUUGCUCUGGUCAUGGAUUCUAGCAGUAGGCACUUCUUCACCUUGAUCCAAAUUUGGGAUUUGGAUUCGGGACGAGCGUCUGGACAUGGGAUUUUCAUAUUACGAUCGACAGAUAAGGC